RNAcentral lists this signal recognition particle RNA (299 nucleotides) under Aotus nancymaae (Ma's night monkey). RNAcentral describes it as "Metazoan signal recognition particle RNA (ENSANAG00000013972.1)". It matches the Rfam family "Metazoan signal recognition particle RNA". From Rfam's summary of the family: The signal recognition particle (SRP) is a universally conserved ribonucleoprotein. It is involved in the co-translational targeting of proteins to membranes. The eukaryotic SRP consists of a 300-nucleotide 7S RNA and six proteins: SRPs 72, 68, 54, 19, 14, and 9. The record is from RNAcentral. Lineage: Eukaryota; Metazoa; Chordata; Mammalia; Primates; Aotidae.
GCCAGGUGCGGUGGCGUGUGCCUGUAGUCCCAGCUACUUGGGAGGCUGAGGCUGGAGGAUCGCUUGAGCCCAGGAGUUCUGGGCUGCAGUGCGCUACGUCGAUCGGGUGUCCGCACUAAGUUCGGCAUCAAUAUGGUGACCUCCCGGGAGCGGGGGACCACCAGGUUGCCUAAGGAGGGGUGAAACGGCCCAGGUCGGAAAUGGAGCAGGUCAAAACUCCUGUGCUGAUCAGUAGUGGGAUCACACCUGUGAAUAGCCACUGCACUCCAACCUGGGCAACAUAGCAAGACCCCGUCUCU